CGGGUGAGUAAUACAUAGGAAUCUACCCAGUAGUGGGGGAUAACUUGGAGAAAUCCAUGCUAAUACCGCAUAUGUCCUACGGGGCAAAGCAGGGGACCCUCGGGCCUUGCGCUAUUGGAUGAGCCUAUGUCGGAUUAGCUAGUUGGUGAGGUAAAGGCCUACCAAGGCGACGAUCCGUAGCUGGUCUGAGAGGAUGAUCAGCCACACUGGGACUGAGACACGGCCCAG
Molecule: ribosomal RNA, 228 nt
Filed under: uncultured bacterium
Lineage: Bacteria
Description: partial 16S ribosomal RNA
Rfam family: Bacterial small subunit ribosomal RNA
Source: RNAcentral